This 724-nucleotide ribosomal RNA is filed under the name uncultured Lachnospiraceae bacterium. RNAcentral's name for it is "bacterial SSU rRNA". It matches the Rfam family "Bacterial small subunit ribosomal RNA", at positions 28 to 754 of the family's 1533-position model. The record is from RNAcentral. Lineage: Bacteria; Bacillati; Bacillota; Clostridia; Lachnospirales; Lachnospiraceae.
GAUGAACGCUGGCGGCGUGCUUAACACAUGCAAGUCGAGCGAAGCAGUUAAGAAGAUUCUUCGGAUGAUUCUUAACUGACUGAGCGGCGGACGGGUGAGUAACGCGUGGGUGACCUGCCCCAUACCGGGGGAUAACAGCUGGAAACGGCUGCUAAUACCGCAUAAGCGCACAGAGCUGCAUGGCUCGGUGUGAAAAACUCCGGUGGUAUGGGAUGGGCCCGCGUCUGAUUAGGCAGUUGGCGGGGUAACGGCCCACCAAACCGACGAUCAGUAGCCGGCCUGAGAGGGCGACCGGCCACAUUGGGACUGAGACACGGCCCAAACUCCUACGGGAGGCAGCAGUGGGGAAUAUUGCACAAUGGGGGAAACCCUGAUGCAGCGACGCCGCGUGAGCGAAGAAGUAUUUCGGUAUGUAAAGCUCUAUCAGCAGGGAAGAUAAUGACGGUACCUGACUAAGAAGCCCCGGCUAACUACGUGCCAGCAGCCGCGGUAAUACGUAGGGGGCAAGCGUUAUCCGGAUUUACUGGGUGUAAAGGGAGCGUAGACGGCAAGGCAAGUCUGAUGUGAAAACCCAGGGCUUAACCCUGGGACUGCAUUGGAAACUGUCUGGCUCGAGUGCCGGAGAGGUAAGCGGAAUUCCUAGUGUAGCGGUGAAAUGCGUAGAUAUUAGGAAGAACACCAGUGGCGAAGGCGGCUUACUGGACGGUAACUGACGUUGAGGCUC